UCUAAAACUCCUUUUGAGGUGCAACCUGCCCUUUGGCUAGGAGGUAAGUUCAUGCUGAAUUGAGCUCAAAUAUUUCACUGAAGCCCUUUAGUAUUGGGUUUAUUGCGUUUUUCUAGAAAAAGGUGUCUGGAGAAUAUAGGGGUUAUCCAAUUAGACUUGUCACUGUUCCCUGAUGAAACUAUUUUCUGACCUUCUAACACCUGCUCCUAUAAUCUAUUGAGUGUUGACUCCCAUCUACAAGAGGAAUACACUGUAAUGAGAGGAUAGACACAGAUAAGAUCAGUCCCUAUAAACUGGCCCUGGAGGUUGAGGUCAGAAAGACCACUGACUGGCAAAAACAUUUCAAAACUUU
Molecule: long non-coding RNA, 352 nt
Filed under: Bos taurus (domestic cattle)
Lineage: Eukaryota; Metazoa; Chordata; Mammalia; Artiodactyla; Bovidae
Description: long non-coding RNA NONBTAT017578
Source: RNAcentral